AAGUGCUUACAGCUCUUUUUGAAUUUGUCUAGUAGGUCUUCUGGUUCAGGGCCAGAAGGUCCUA
Small nuclear RNA from Molossus molossus (Pallas's mastiff bat), 64 nucleotides. RefSeq annotates it as U7 small nuclear RNA. The record is from RefSeq and is a predicted model, not a curated record. The transcript has a single exon. NCBI's taxonomy places the organism in Eukaryota, Metazoa, Chordata, Mammalia, Chiroptera, Molossidae.